Molecule: RNA transcript, 2158 nt
Organism: Sapajus apella (tufted capuchin)
Lineage: Eukaryota; Metazoa; Chordata; Mammalia; Primates; Cebidae
Gene name: calcium uniporter protein, mitochondrial pseudogene
Exons: 1
Source: RefSeq, a predicted model, not a curated record
AUGGCGGCCGCCGCAGGUAGAUCGCUCCUGCUGCUCCUGUCCUCUCGGGGCGGCGGAGCGGGCGCCGGGGGCUGCGGGGCGCUGACUGCAGGCUGUUUCCCCGGGCUGGGCGUCAGCCGCCACCGGCAGCAGCAGCACCACCGGACGGUACACCAGAGGCUCUCUUCCUGGCAGAAUUUGAGAGUUGUUUAUUGCCGUACUGUUGUGCCCUCUGAUGAUGUUACAGUGAUUUAUCAAAAUGGGUUACCUGUGAUAUCUGUGAGGCUACCAUCCCGGCGUGAACGCUGUCCGUUCACACUCAAGCCUAUCUCUGACUCUGUUGGUGUGUUUUUACAACUGCAAGAAGAGGAUCGGGGAAUUGACAGAGUUGCUGUCUAUUCACCAGAUGGCGUUCGUGUUGCUGCUUCAGCAGGGAUAGAUCUCCUCCUCCUUGAUGACUUUAAGCUGGUCAUUAAUGACUUGACAUAUCAUGUACGACCACCAAAAAGAGACCUCUUAAGUCAUGAAAAUGCAGCAACGUUGAAUGAUGUAAAGACAUUGGUCCAGCAGCUAUAUACCACACUGUGCAUUGAGCAGCACCAGUUAAACAAGGAAAGGGAGCUUUUGAAAGACUAGAGGAUCUCAAAGAGCAACUGGCUCCCCAGGAAAAGGUAAGAAUUGAGAUUAGCAGAAAAGCUGAGAAGAGGACCACUUUGGUGCUAUGGGGUGGCCUUGCCUACAUGGCCACACAGUUUGGCAUUUUGGCCCGGCUUACCUGGUGGGAAUAUUCCUGGGACAUCAGGGAGCCGCCGGUCACCUACUUCAUCACUUAUGGAAGUGCCAUGGCAAUGUAUGCGUAUUUUGUAAUGACACGCCAGGAGUAUGUUUAUCCAGAAGCCAGAGACAGACAAUACUUAUUAUUUUUCCAUAAAGGAGCCAAAAAGUCACGUUUUGACCUAGAGAAAUACAAUCAACUCAAGGAUGCAAUUGCUCAGGCAGAAAUGGACCUUAAGAGACUGAGAGACCCAUUACAAGUACAUCUGCCUCUCCGACAAAUUGGUGAAAAAGAUUGAUCUGCAAAGAGCCUCUGAAUCCCAGCAGAAGGAACACCUGUUUGCCUUUUUAAUUAAAGCAUUGCAGGUGGAAGCUGGGAACCAUGUGGGGGUAGAGCGUUUUUACCUUUAAUUAUAAAAUAAAAACAGAAAGGAUCUGAGGGAAGAAGGGAGUGUUAAAACCUGAGGAUCAGGCAUUGUGGAAUAUAAGAUCAAAGGGCUUAGUGAAUAUUGUCUUAACCAAGUAUCUCACUUUCUGGAUAAAAAUGAUGCAGUUAUAUAGUCGAGAGAUUCAUAAAGAGAAAGUGACGCUGGGGGUGUUUGUUUCUUGCAUCUUCUCUGCAGAGUCAGCAAAACAGUAACACACCAGCACCCCACUCUGCUCUAUUUUUUUUUUAAUUUAACUUUCCCUAUUUUUGACAUAGGAGUAAAUAAAUAUACCAGAAAAGCAGAUUCUCAUGAUAUGUGGAUGGCAAUCUGAGUGCAUAUCAUUAGCAUUUAUUUUAAAUCGGACCCAGUCUCUGCAGAGUUACCAGGAAUCUCUCCCUCCUGCACCCCUUUACUGACCACCUACCUGUGCCUCUUAGCUACACUCAUUUUUUUCCAUUUGAUAAUUGGAACCAACUUACAACUGUUUAAUAAUUGAUACUUUAUCUCUUAAUACUUUCUUAAAUGUCUGUAUAGCCCAGUGCUCUGGAUCAGUGUCUAAAAAUCACUGGCAACACUGCAUGAGGUUGUUGGUUUGAUUUUGUUUUUCUAUUAAUUAGUCUUUCACAGGAGGAAAAUUUGCCCUCCUUUAUAUGCGUAUCUAUUGAUAAUCCCCUCUCCUUCCACUACACAAGUCAGAGAGGGGAGGGGUGUUCAGCUGUACUACCAAAUCAGGAAGAUGUAAGGUUUACAAACUGGCUAAAAAUCAUGGCUCUGUAGCCAUUUCAACCCAAAUAAUUUUAUUGCUAAUCUGCUUGUGUGACAGCAUUCCAGGCCAGCCAGAUGGCACUGCCUUGUCUGGAGGCUUUGUUCAUCUCAAAGGACACACACUUCCACACUGUUUGGGAGUCCUCACACCUCCACAACUUCAGUUGUUGUAAAUCAAGUGUGUGGAUCUCAAAGGGUGCAAUUUAUCUUUA